This 1343-nucleotide long non-coding RNA is filed under the name Selaginella moellendorffii. RNAcentral describes it as "long non-coding RNA (SMOE_LNC002447)". The record is from RNAcentral. Lineage: Eukaryota; Viridiplantae; Streptophyta; Lycopodiopsida; Selaginellales; Selaginellaceae.
UUUGUCGCUCGUCCAGUGCUCCGGCCGCGUGCCCAGGUACUCUUCGUCGGAUGAAUGAGUGGAGAGGAUCUCGAUGGUUGUCAUCACCUGCGUCGCUUCGACUUUGGUGGAGAAGGACGAGAGGUAGAAUUUCUCCCCUCUUCGCAGCUGUUUAUAUUCUUCGGUGUCUUCGUCAGGAAUGAGCUUGUGAGCGAUGGUCGGCCUGUUCACUGGGAAUCCAGCGUAUGCAUACUGGCCAAAGUUAACAGCAGCGUGGUGGCACGAUGGGAUCCAAAUCAUGGUGGUGAGUGCCUCGAUCAAGUUUGCUUUUGUGUUCAGGUCUGUCCAUCCAACUUUCUUGUCUGCAUGACCAACAUUCACGAUUUCUUGCCACCAUGCCUGGAGCUCAGUGUCAUCCCUGACUGAAGCAUCGUCCUUGUAGAAAAUGUCUGUGUAGUCCGUCACCCAUUGCUUCAAUGCACUCCAGAGGUUCAGUCCAUCCACUGCGUAAGGAUAGUCUUCAAUGAGGAGGUCUAGGCCGUGUCUGGCUUUCGGAUUUGGAGUAGCCAUUCCCCUGGAAAAAAAUCAAUGCUUGUUUUUCGUUUGGAUAGUUUCAAGCCAGAAAUCCCCUUACCUGGCGAUCAAGUCAGCUGGAAGUCCCUGCUGGUCGAAUCUCCACUGCGAUCCAUAGACGACAGCACUUAUUUCUAUGGAGUAUUUUCCCGGUGUGAAGUUGGCUUCGAUGAUUCCUGAUGCAUUGAUCAGCGAUUGGCGAGCUUUGGAAUUGAUGGUCAUUGUGUCUUUGAAGUGCGGAAUCAGCAGGAGGUAGAUUGGAUGAAGAAUGCUCAGCUGCCUGUGCAUAGCAAUUAUAAACGGUUCCAUGACGGCAUGCGUUCUCAGCCUGGAUGAGCGCGAUCAGGUAAGCAUUGCCAUAUAUUUUUUUGUAUCAUUCUCUUACCAGUGACUAAUGAGUUGAUGGUAUCCACAGUCAUUCACGGCAACGUGUCCUUUGGCAACUUCCCAAGCCCAGUCCCUCUUUGGUGUGUCGGAGCAGACAAAUACCCUGUUCUUUCUCUGGCCGGUCGCUGUUGCUGCUGGGAGGCUCAACUCGAUGGCUAUAGGCUUCAAGACACCUCUGUCUGUAAGAAACAAUAUAGUCCGUGUUGCGUACGUUUUCUUUCCCUCCUGCGCAUUAAUCCUGUUCAAGUAUGGCAGGAAUGCAUCGUGGUAAUCCAGGAUGAAGAGCUUAUUCGCCUCCAAAGCCUGACAAACACCAGCGGUGAAGCUUGGUUCUUAGAAAAACACUUUCUUACUUCUUGAACAGUGAGGCCGUUGAGCUGAUCCAGUAUGUGUUCGUCUUUCAG